RNAcentral lists this ribosomal RNA (266 nucleotides) under uncultured bacterium. RNAcentral's name for it is "partial 16S ribosomal RNA". It matches the Rfam family "Bacterial small subunit ribosomal RNA", at positions 524 to 788 of the family's 1533-position model. The record is from RNAcentral.
UACGGAGGGGGCUAGCGUUGUUCGGAAUUACUGGGCGUAAAGCGCACGUAGGCGGCUUUGCAAGUUAGAGGUGAAAGCCCGGGGCUCAACUCCGGAAUUGCCUUUAAAACUGCAUCGCUAGAAUUGUGGAGAGGUAAGUGGAAUUCCGAGUGUAGAGGUGAAAUUCGUAGAUAUUCGGAAGAACACCAGUGGCGAAGGCGACUUACUGGACACAUAUUGACGCUGAGGUGCGAAAGCGUGGGGAGCAAACAGGAUUAAGAAACCCC